AAUGCAUCACCUAUGGCAAAGAUGGCCACCUCGCCUCCAUCCACAGUGAUCGCGAAAUGGCAUUUUUAUCUUCUGCUCUACGCAUGAACUAUGCAAAGAGAUUUAGAAUCUGGAUUGGAUUGUACAAACUCCCAGGCGGGAGGACACGAUUCAGAUGGCAAGACCACUCCAGGGGGGGUUACAUCCCUUGGGCAGUCAAUCAACCUUCCAACUGCAAACGGAGGCAGAAUUGUGUUGAGCUCUAUACUACCGACUAUAAAAGAUGGAAUGACCAGUUUUGUGACGUCGAACAGCCCUAUCUGUGCAAGAUGAGUCUCGUUUGAAUACAGCUGGAAACACCUUGAAGGUUGUAAGUCGGAAUCUCCCUGACUACCACAAGAUCAGCCUGCUGACCCACAGAACAAGCCUGUGCGUCAGGCUUUCUUUUCCAUGUGGUGUCACUAAUCAAUAAACUCUAAUCCAAGUGCAGAUGAUGCUCUGAAUUUUUUUCUCUUGUGUCUUGUCAUUCAUUGAGGACUCCAGGUG
Molecule: non-coding RNA, 525 nt
Organism: Notechis scutatus (mainland tiger snake)
Lineage: Eukaryota; Metazoa; Chordata; Lepidosauria; Squamata; Elapidae
Source: RefSeq, a predicted model, not a curated record